Long non-coding RNA from Pantherophis guttatus, 317 nucleotides. RefSeq lists it as uncharacterized. NCBI's taxonomy places the organism in Eukaryota, Metazoa, Chordata, Lepidosauria, Squamata, Colubridae. The record is from RefSeq and is a predicted model, not a curated record.
CUGGGUUGGACUACAAGAUCUCCAAGGUCCCUUCCCAGCCUAUUAUUCUAUGUUCUUUACUUUCACAGCACUUUCUCAGGAUGCUGCAUCGAACUGGAACAACAUCUGAUGUGGAAUCACUUAUAUACCAAGGAGGAGUGGCUAAAGAAUCUGCUGGUGGCUGCAUGGCAACCCUACUUAUGUGACCUGAACCCUGCUGGGGAGUGAUCAGCCCCAGGACCAUUUCCAGUUUAUCUAAAUUUUCGCUGGUUUCUUCAAUAUUGAUGAGGAUGAGGAGGAAGAUGGUGAGGAUAAGAAUAAAUUUGAAUUAUAUUUAU